Molecule: ribosomal RNA, 478 nt
Filed under: uncultured bacterium
Lineage: Bacteria
Description: partial 16S ribosomal RNA
Rfam family: Bacterial small subunit ribosomal RNA
Source: RNAcentral
GACGAACGCUGGCGGCGUGCUUAACACAUGCAAGUCGAACGGUAAGGCCCUUCGGGGUACACGAGUGGCGAACGGGUGAGUAACACGUGGGUGAUCUGCCCUGCACUUCGGGAUAAGCCUGGGAAACUGGGCCUAAUACCGGAUAGGACCACUGCCUGCAUGGGUGGUGGUGGAAAGCUUUUGCGGUGUGGGAUGGGCCCGCGGCCUAUCAGCUUGUUGGUGGGGUGAUGGCCUACCAAGGCGACGACGGGUAGCCGGCCUGGGGGGGUGACGGGUCAAACUGGGACUGAGAUACGGCCCAGACUCCUACGGGAGGCAGCAGUGGGGAAUAUUGCACAAUGGGCGCAAGCCUGAUGCAGCGACGCCGCGUGAGGGAUGACGGCCUUCGGGUUGUAAACCUCUUUCAGCUAUGACGAAGCGCAAGUGACGGUAGUAGCAGAAGAAGGACCGGCCAGCUACGUGCCAGCAGCCGCCGUAA